CGAGCGGUAGAGAGGUGCUUGCACCUCUUGAGAGCGGCGGACGGGUGAGUAAUGCCUAGGAAUCUGCCUGGUAGUGGGGGAUAACGUUCGGAAACGGACGCUAAUACCGCAUACGUCCUACGGGAGAAAGCAGGGGACCUUCGGGCCUUGCGCUAUCAGAUGAGCCUAGGUCGGAUUAGCUAGUUGGUGAGGUAAUGGCUCACCAAGGCGACGAUCCGUAACUGGUCUGAGAGGAUGAUCAGUCACACUGGAACUGAGACACGGUCCAGACUCCUACGGGAGGCAGCAGUGGGGAAUAUUGGACAAUGGGCGAAAGCCUGAUCCAGCCAUGCCGCGUGUGUGAAGAAGGUCUUCGGAUUGUAAAGCACUUUAAGUUGGGAGGAAGGGUACUUACCUAAUACGUGAGUAUUUUGACGUUACCGACAGAAUAAGCACCGGCUAACUCUGUGCCAGCAGCCGCGGUAAUACAGAGGGUGCAAGCGUUAAUCGGAAUUACUGGGCGUAAAGCGCGCGUAGGUGGUUCGUUAAGUUGAAUGUGAAAUCCCCGGGCUCAACCUGGGAACUGCAUCCAAAACUGGCGAGCUAGAGUAUGGUAGAGGGUGGUGGAAUUUCCUGUGUAGCGGUGAAAUGCGUAGAUAUAGGAAGGAACACCAGUGGCGAAAGGCGACCACCUGGACUGAUACUGACACUGAGGUGCGAAAGCGUGGGGAGCAAACAGGAUUAGAUACCC
Molecule: ribosomal RNA, 730 nt
Filed under: Pseudomonas sp.
Lineage: Bacteria; Pseudomonadati; Pseudomonadota; Gammaproteobacteria; Pseudomonadales; Pseudomonadaceae
Description: bacterial SSU rRNA
Rfam family: Bacterial small subunit ribosomal RNA
Source: RNAcentral